Molecule: ribosomal RNA, 88 nt
Filed under: uncultured bacterium
Lineage: Bacteria
Description: partial 16S ribosomal RNA
Source: RNAcentral
CACACACAGCCCGUCGCUUCAUCGAAGUUGGGUUUAGGCGAGGUGGUGCGAUUUGGCAUUAUCGAACCUGAGAUCAGCAACGAGGGAG